Molecule: ribosomal RNA, 459 nt
Filed under: uncultured Treponema sp.
Lineage: Bacteria; Pseudomonadati; Spirochaetota; Spirochaetia; Treponematales; Treponemataceae
Description: bacterial SSU rRNA
Rfam family: Bacterial small subunit ribosomal RNA
Source: RNAcentral
ACGGGAGGCAGCAGCUAAGAAUAUUCCGCAAUGGGGGAAACCCUGACGGAGCGACGCCGCGUGGAUGAUGAAGGCCGGAAGGUUGUAAAAUCCUUUUGAAACUGAGGAAUAAGUGCUGGAGGGAAUGCCAGCAUGGUGACUGUAGGUUUUGAAUAAGCACCGGCUAAUUACGUGCCAGCAGCCGCGGUAACACGUAAGGUGCAAGCGUUGUUCGGAAUUAUUGGGCGUAAAGGGCAUGUAGGCGGAUCGCUAAGCUUGGUGUGAAAGCCUGGAGCUUAACUCCAGAAUUGCAUUGAGAACUGGUGAACUUGAAUCGCUGAGGGGAAGCCGGAAUUCCAAGUGUAGGGGUGAAAUCUGUAGAUAUUUGGAAGAACACCAAUGGCGAAGGCAGGCUUCUAGCAGAUGAUUGACGCUGAGGUGCGAAGGUGCGGGGAGCAAACAGGAUUAGAUACCCUGGUA